RNAcentral lists this ribosomal RNA (206 nucleotides) under Aeromonas hydrophila. RNAcentral describes it as "partial 16S ribosomal RNA". It matches the Rfam family "Bacterial small subunit ribosomal RNA", at positions 93 to 302 of the family's 1533-position model. Lineage: Bacteria; Pseudomonadati; Pseudomonadota; Gammaproteobacteria; Aeromonadales; Aeromonadaceae. The record is from RNAcentral.
GNNCGGCGGNCGGGUGAGUAAUGCCUGGGAAAUUGCCCAGUCGAGGGGGAUAACAGUUGGAAACGACUGCUAAUACCGCAUACGCCCUACGGGGGAAAGCAGGGGACCUUCGGGCCUUGCGCGAUUGGAUAUGCCCAGGUGGGAUUAGCUAGUUGGUGAGGUAAUGGNUCNCCAAGGCGACGAUCCCUAGCUGGUCUGAGAGGAUG